Molecule: non-coding RNA, 1663 nt
Organism: Danio rerio (zebrafish)
Lineage: Eukaryota; Metazoa; Chordata; Actinopteri; Cypriniformes; Danionidae
Source: the annotation of a RefSeq genome assembly
AAGUGUUUUGCUUAUGCGGAAUUUAUAAAUGUAAAAUAUCAUUAAUGUUUCUUAUUCUGUAUUUUUGUCUUUUACCCCAUUUAGAUGAAACUCUCACAGCACCAGUUGUGUUCAAAAUGUCUCAGUGUAGUUCUUCUACUGAUUCCUUAAUUAUUGGAUGUCUGGCCUCUGAGUUUUCACCUGACUCAGUAAACUUCAGAUGGAGUAGUAAUGGAAAUGAAAUGAAAAACGUCACCCAGCAUUCUACAGCAAACAAUCUAAAAUUCAGCUACAUCACCAUUACCAAAAAGCAACGAUACCAAAGUGACAUAAUGUGCACAGCAGAUCAUCCAUCAAAAACAGUCAACGAAACAUUUAGUACAGCUCCAACCCUGAGUUUGGUUCUUGUACCGACUGAGAAAAAUACAUUUGCCAUGUGUGUUAUUGAGGAUUUCUACACUGAAAACAUCACUGUACGGUGGAAAGAAAAUAACAUAUACAAACAGAGCCAGACAAAUCUGGAGUACAAACUGAACAUGAAUGGUCUUCACACAGCACUCAGUCUUUAUAAAUUAAACGAGAUUGUGAUUCCAAACACUGAGUAUACCUGUGAGGUCUCACACAGAGGAAAAACAUUUCAUAAAACACAGAACUUUACAGCUAAAUUCAGACUGAUGCUGAAGCCACCAAUGGUGAGAGAAAUGUUCAUCAAUAACAGAAUUGUCUUGCAAGCUGUUGUUUCUGGAGAUUUGUCGACUGCAGUGAAAGAAGCUUCAGUGUCAUGCAAAAUGGACAAUGUGCCUAUAAAUAGUGUGAGCCAGGAAAAUGAGUCACAACACGUAAAAAUUUAUAAUGUUCCAGUUGAUACAACGAAAUGGUUUAAUGGUGGAAAAGUCACCUGUACCACCCGGGACACGCUUAAUAACAAAGACAUUAAGCAGGAGAUCUAUUUUAAUAAAGGAGAUGGACAGGAACCCAGUGUUAAAAUGUACAAACCUGAUGAUAUCAGCACAAAGCAAAUCUCUUAUGUGUGUGAAGUCUCCAGCCCUAACCUUGGUGAUGUCUAUAUCAUGUGGAAAGUGAACAAUACGUUCACAGAGGGCAAAUCCAGUGAUCCCAUCCAACAACAGGGCUCCACAUCUGUUGUCAGCAUUCUGACAAUCUCAAAAAAAGAGUUUGAGAACCCCGAAACCACCAUCAACUGUGCUGUUGUACAUGCCAACAUGAAGGAUACAGCAUCUCCAUUACUAAAAUCAACCAGCAAAAAGGAGCCUCCUGAGCCAGAGACAGGUUUUGCUCUUCACUGCAAUGAAGAUGUUCUGGAGGAGGACGAGUUUAGAAGUCUCUGGUCCACUGCUACAUCAUUCAUCUUCCUCUUCCUCUUCUCUCUGACCUACAGCGCUGUGCUCAGCCUCUUCACGAUGAAGCAGUGACGAUUUGUUGAAAGAGUUUGUGAAAACUUCAACGCUUGUAAUUUCUUUUGUAACUUUUUAAAUAUUUUGAAAUUGCAAAAGAAAAAUAUUUCUAUAAUCUCUCUUGCUCUGUAAGUGUCUUUUAAAAUAAAUGCAUGCUUACUGUUUUAACUGAUGUUGAAGCUUCAUAAUGCCGCCCCUCCCCCUGAAUAUAUAAAUUUAUAUGUAUAUAUUGCUCACAGUCAUCAAUAAAGUCUUAUUUUAUCUCUCAA